Carcharodon carcharias (great white shark) is the source of this 1257-nucleotide long non-coding RNA. RefSeq lists it as uncharacterized. NCBI's taxonomy places the organism in Eukaryota, Metazoa, Chordata, Chondrichthyes, Lamniformes, Lamnidae. The record is from RefSeq and is a predicted model, not a curated record. The transcript has 3 exons.
AGAAGUGUUACUGGAUCUCUUACUCCUGAGAUUGGUACAUCUUCUCAUUUCAGAAUACAACAACAAAAAGGAUUAUAAGAGAAACCCCACAUAUGAACAGCCAACAUAAGGUUGGAUCGAAGGACACACAAGUACAGAGCCACUGCACAGGAGUUCCAGGGACACCCAUGGUGGAGCUGUGGAAGCAGAGUCCGAGGUCGACAAAGAAAUUGGAGGGCUGCUAAGCCAAAAGCUAAUAGAAGGACCCCCAUGAAAUCAUGUGCCUUGGAGAAAAGCUGAAACGCUGAAGAGAAAUCACUGAAGAGUAAAUUGUGGACAGCGACGCUAAACCUUUUGAAUUGGUCCCAGGAAAAGUGAAUGAAUCUUAAAGAUUUCCUAAGAUAAGGGAACCCUUGGGGUAAAAAAGAAAGUAGAACUGAGUUUGUAGCACAAGUCUUUGUAAGUUAUUGUGUUAAGUUAAUAGUGCUUAAUUUGUUUAAUUUUUUGAUAUACAAUAAUGUUUUUGUUUAAAAAUGUGAAAUCUUGUGACAUAGUUCUGUCUAUUAAUUGCCGGUUGUUCGGAUUUCUUCUUUAACCAGUAACAUUCCCUGACCAGAUCAUAACACUCGUCUAUACGGUUUCCCAUCUGACAACAGAACACACAAAAUACAUUGAAUCACGCACCGUGAAACCCUGAUCAACAAUGCUUUAAAUUGUAAAAGAAAAUGCAGCAUUUUCUCCUUAAAAAAACCUCUAAAUUCUUAAUAUAGAGGACUGUUGAAUGAAGAAAAAGGGCAAUUGGACCAAAAUGUCCACUUCUUCCAUUGAAUGUAAACAAACAAUCUAACAUAUCAUGAGUCUACUCCACCAAUUUAUUCUCCUUCGGGAAAUUCUCCAUAAAUACUUUGCCCUCAAAAUGUCAUUAAGUAAAUCUCCACAAUACUCACUCACUAGCAUCUCUACUAUUUUUGCACAGGCUCUGUCAAUACCUUACAACACCUCUCUCCUAUUAGCAUAGGAGGCAUUAUGUCCAGUACAAUAUUUGAUCAUCUCAAAUCAGUAACCAUCCCAAUUUAACUCUAUUUUAUUUCCAAUCAGAUUAUUUAACCCUUCAAAAAAAAGCUGAAUAAUUAACUUGGGCUUUUUUAAUGCAUGCAUAAGUAUAUGCAUAGUAUUCCUGUGCCCCUAAUUGUAAUCUCUAGAUUCAAUGGACUUGGUUAAUUUUAAACUUGUGCAAUCUAGCUGUACACUCAUAUUAAGUCAAACAGUUAGCUGGUA